This 461-nucleotide ribosomal RNA is filed under the name uncultured soil bacterium. RNAcentral's name for it is "bacterial SSU rRNA". It matches the Rfam family "Bacterial small subunit ribosomal RNA", at positions 26 to 489 of the family's 1533-position model. The record is from RNAcentral.
AGAUUGAACGCUGGCGGCAUGCCUUACACAUGCAAGUCGAACGGCAGCACGGGAGCAAUCCUGGUGGCGAGUGGCGAACGGGUGAGUAAUACAUCGGAACGUGCCCAAUCGUGGGGGAUAACGCAGCGAAAGCUGUGCUAAUACCGCAUAAGAUCUACGGAUGAAAGCAGGGGAUCGCAAGACCUUGCGCGAAUGGAGCGGCCGAUGGCAGAUUAGGUAGUUGGUGAGGUAAAGGCUCACCAAGCCUUCGAUCUGUAGCUGGUCUGAGAGGACGACCAGCCACACUGGGACUGAGACACGGCCCAGACUCCUACGGGAGGCAGCAGUGGGAAUUUUGGACAAUGGGCGAAAGCCUGAUCCAGCCAUGCCGCGUGCAGGAUGAAGGCCUUCGGUUGUAACUGUCUUUGUACGGUAACGUAAAAGUCUUUACUAAUAAAGAAGCUCAUAGACGUACGUAAGAA